AUGAAGCUUAUUAUAAACAAUAUUGAAGUUCUAAAAAUGCAAUUUUAAUGGAUGAUUCGAUGAUGUCUAGACCAAUGUAUCAUAAUAGUUUGAUAUAGAGAAUUAUUACUUUGGCUAUAAAUGAAAGAUGCAUACUCGUUAUGCUUAUGACUUCUGAUAGAUACUACUCAUAUCAAGUUUACUGGGAUUUUAGAUGUCCAGAUAUAUUCAUUUCCUAUGAGAUUUUUGGAUGGGCUCCACAAGAAGCUAAAAUGCAGAUGGUUACCGAGUACUUCAGUCAGUCAGAGGUGCUCGGGCCAAACCCUCGACAUCUGUUUCAACUUUACGCGCUCGAACAAAGCAGCUAUUACCAGAAGGUCCUCGAAGAAAAGGAUAGCACAUUCGAGGAUAUUGUCGAUGCAUAUUUGGCAUUUUUGAAGGUUACUGUGGUGAAUCCUGCCAUGGAUAAAGCACUGGAAUUCCUGCAAAAGCUUGCCAGUGAUGCAAGAAAUGGAAAAAUCCCAAAAAAACAGAUUAUGUUUUGGUUCUCCUUGGAGGCAUCCUACAAAAAGAGACGACCCUACUCUGUGCCAGCAAAGGGCAAAGCUUCAACUGCUGGAUUUUGUUCAGUCUCUAGUAAAUACCGAAUUUGGGGUAAAUUACCUAGGUGAUUGUAGCUUUUAGAUAUUUGAUGAUCCAUGCACUGUUGCAUUAUUAGAGGUUGGUUUGCUCUAUGCUCAACGCGACCCAUCAUUCAUUCGUCCCAUAUCUGAAGGUAUUCAGAGACGUCUUGUGAGAUGGCAUGUCCAGGAACACAUGAAAAUGAGUUUACAGAACCUGCUCCAGUUUCUGUGGCAGCGAAUUAUACGUGGCCGUAGUUACCGUCAUUUGAUGUUUUCAAGUGGGCUACAAAUAACAAAAACGGUCAUCAGUAUGUGUUGUCCUUAAAAUCAACAUAUCUCCUAUGUUUGUUUAAAUUUUGUGCAACAACAGAUACUCAAAAACCUGAGUGCUCAAGGGGAUUGGCACAGUUUUAAAUACUGCAUGGGAUCUUGAACCAGAGACAGAUUUUGAAUUUUUGGUGCUUAGGAAAUACUUGUUUGCGACAGUUGCUGCAAGUUUGAGUUUUCUAGAGGCUGUUACCUUAAUUACACUACCUACGUAGGUGGUGGACAUUCGCUGCACCACAGAUAUAUCUCAAGCUCAAAUGUGAGCAAAACAAUAUAUGAUUUUCAUUUGUUUUUGUUGUUUAUAUCUUGAUUCUUGCCUUAGUUAUGGGGGAUUUUGGUUGCAAUCAUGGCCUUCUGGAUUCCAAGAGAGACAUAGCAUAAACAAAUAAAACUGUAAGAUCCUCCUCCAUUGGACAAUUUAUCAGUACUUCUAGUCAUGUAUUUACGAUGACCACUCAUUUCAUUCCUUGAUUUGGGAGUGUAUGUUUCUUGGAUAGCACGAUAAUUGUGUUCCAAGUUCACUAGAUAAACACAGCUCAAUUUUGAGCAUCACGCCCCUCAUAAAAUGAUUUUAUUUUUUAUCAGUGAAGUUCUUGCUGCUAGGUUGCUCUGGAACAACCCUUUUGGCUUUGACUGGUGUUGAAGAAUCCAUUAUCCAGAUACAUCUGGCGAAUGAAGAAUUGUCUGUCUUUUUUAUAUGAAGAGGCGAGUGUGACCAUCUCGUCUUUCAUGGCGUACCCUAGUUAUUUGGUUGAACAAUUUAUAACUUCUCAGUAUCUCUCAACAUAUGAGUAUGUAAUAGCAAAGAGGACAGAUGGUAGAAUAGAUGGCACGGUUCUGUCACCUGAAAUGUUUGUUUAUAGGUUUACUCAUCGCAGGAGCAUAAACAAAUUACUAGUGUUUGAUGCUCUCAUGUUUAUAUGAACUAGCUAUCAACUUACCAGCAAACU
Populus trichocarpa (black cottonwood) is the source of this 1879-nucleotide RNA transcript. RefSeq lists it as uncharacterized. The transcript has 8 exons. NCBI's taxonomy places the organism in Eukaryota, Viridiplantae, Streptophyta, Magnoliopsida, Malpighiales, Salicaceae. The record is from RefSeq and is a predicted model, not a curated record.